This 542-nucleotide ribosomal RNA is filed under the name Enterobacter asburiae. RNAcentral's name for it is "partial 23S ribosomal RNA". It matches the Rfam family "Bacterial large subunit ribosomal RNA", at positions 1 to 583 of the family's 2925-position model. The record is from RNAcentral. Lineage: Bacteria; Pseudomonadati; Pseudomonadota; Gammaproteobacteria; Enterobacterales; Enterobacteriaceae.
GGUUAAGCGACUAAGCGUACACGGUGGAUGCCCUGGCAGUCAGAGGCGAUGAAGGACGUGCUAAUCUGCGAAAAGCGCCGGCGAGGUGAUAUGAACCUUUGACCCGGCGAUGUCCGAAUGGGGAAACCCAGUGCAAUUCGUUGCACUAUCGUUAACUGAAUACAUAGGUUAACGAGGCGAACCGGGGGAACUGAAACAUCUAAGUACCCCGAGGAAAAGAAAUCAACCGAGAUUCCCCCAGUAGCGGCGAGCGAACGGGGAGCAGCCCAGAGUCUGAAUCAGCUUGUGUGUUAGUGGAAGCGUCUGGAAAGUCGCACGGUACAGGGUGACAGUCCCGUACACGAAAGCACACAGGCUGUGAACUCGAAGAGUAGGGCGGGACACGUGGUAUCCUGUCUGAAUAUGGGGGGACCAUCCUCCAAGGCUAAAUACUCCUGACUGACCGAUAGUGAACCAGUACCGUGAGGGAAAGGCGAAAAGAACCCCGGCGAGGGGAGUGAAAAAGAACCUGAAACCGUGUACGUACAAGCAGUGGGAGCACC